CUCUCGGCAACGGAUAUCUCGGCUCUCGCAUCGAUGAAGAACGUAGCGAAAUGCGAUACCUGGUGUGAAUUGCAUAAUCCUGUGAACCAUCGAGUCUUUGAACGCAAGUUGCGCCCGAGGCCAUCCGGCUAAGGGCACGCCUGCCUGGGCGUCAC
This 155-nucleotide ribosomal RNA is filed under the name Musa ABB Group. RNAcentral describes it as "5.8S ribosomal RNA". It matches the Rfam family "5.8S ribosomal RNA". Rfam says of the family: 5.8S ribosomal RNA (5.8S rRNA) is a component of the large subunit of the eukaryotic ribosome. Lineage: Eukaryota; Viridiplantae; Streptophyta; Magnoliopsida; Zingiberales; Musaceae. The record is from RNAcentral.